Molecule: long non-coding RNA, 2061 nt
Organism: Sceloporus undulatus (fence lizard)
Lineage: Eukaryota; Metazoa; Chordata; Lepidosauria; Squamata; Phrynosomatidae
Exons: 3
Source: RefSeq, a predicted model, not a curated record
GCUAUGCUGCUUAAAGACAAGCUCUUCUUCUGCAUCCUAAUCCAGGAUUGUACUAAGGGUUUCAGUUUCAAAUAGCUGUCUUUAGAUUGCUAUGUUUUGAUAUACUGGCUUUCAUUUAUUUCCCUGGUUCCUCUUCUUCAUGAGCAAUUCAAAGACAAGCCUGGCAGCAGCUCACACCUCAGAUAUUGAGAUGUUCUUCAAAGAUGUAAGGGGCAAAACAGGAUAUCAAUCCUUCAUUGUGCUGGAGGCCACUAGGUGUGUGAAGUGGACAUUGCACAAAGUGAGGAUGUUAUUCCCGGACUGAGGUGAGCAUCUCACAUACUUAUUCCCUCAAAAGCUCAGAACCUGCUGAAAGGUUUUGGAUAUGUUCUGGAAAUACUCCAAGAGAAGUAGAUUUCAGUUGUUUAUAUCCAGAAUGAGUAGCAAAAUCAUGCCUUCUAACUAUCUGGAUUUAGCAGGAACAGUCCCAAUUAAUUUUCUAUCCUUGCUUUGAAGCAGCAUCCUUCAAAGACUUGCACAAAGCUUGGGAAACCUGGAGUGUAUGGAGAAGCUCAUCCCCUUGGCUGUGUUGGCUCUAUCUCCAAGGUAUACCCAGACCUGGCAGGAAAUCUGAAGGAAAAGACCUUAGGCAGGAGCAAGGAGGAAGGGGAGGCCAGACUCCCUGUCUGACAGUUCUAGUGGUAGUCCCAGCAGCUGAGAGAAGGAGAUAGCAAGGAAGAAGGAAUUAGCAAAGAAGAGUCACAAGUGCAAGAGGCCGCAGAGAGCAUUCUGGAGGUAUAAGAAGUCUAGCAGCCCUUCAACAUCUGCUCCACAUGACAACUCAUUGCAAGUAGAGAAAAACAGAGGUGAUGUCCCACUUUGUAGAAACAGAAAGGAAUGAUGUCAGAUUCCAAGGUCCAAUUUGCUUUAGGACACCUGUGUCAUAAACAGCCUUAAAACCAACAGUGAAAGGGUAAGAUGAUAUGAGCUUAACAGUGACUGGUUGUUCUGCUUCAGACAGUAGGAGCUGACUCUGUGGACUCAAAUUACAAGAAAGAAGACUCUGCCAAAACAGCAGGAAGAAGAAGGAUUUCCUGAGGAUAAGAGAUGUUCAACAGUCGAAUAGACUAUCUUGAAGAUGGUGAACUUUCAUUCAUUGGAGACUUGUAUAACAGUAUAUCCCACCUGUCAGGGAUGCUUAAGCUGUGGAUUCCUGCAGUGACAGAGGGUCGGACUGGAUGAUCUUUGUGUAGGAAUGUAAAAACACUUUGUAAUGUCUUAUCCUCAGUUAGAAAGGUUGUCUCCACACAUGGAGUAUUAGACAGUAUGUGUAGGUGUGCCUUCACGUCACCUGUCAACUUAUGGCAACCUCUUGAAUUUCAAAGGGUUUUCUCAAGCAAGGAAUAAUUAGAUAUAGUUUUGCCCAUUCCUUCCUCUGAAAUAUCUCUCACCUGGUUUUCAUUGGUGGUCUCCCAUCCAAGUAUUAAUCAAGCUAAUCCUGCUUAGGUUCCAUGAUCAGACAGGAUUUGGUGCCCUUAAGGUAUUUAGUCCUUGAUAGAUGUGUGUGUAAUUUAAGCCUUUUUAAAAUGUUCUUUGUUUGAAACCCAACUUGUGUUUUUUUUUACAGAAAACAGCAUUUUUUGUCCAAACAUACUUUUUUCUGUGCAAAGUUUUUUUUAAAAAAAAUAAAAUAAAUGAAUUUGUCUCAAAAAGGGGUCUUGAAGUUCAAAAUGCAGAAGAAGUCUCAUAAUCUUCUGACAGGGAGAAAACUUCUGAAAUCAUUCCUUUUUGCAUCCAAAAAUGAAUUAGAUGAAGGUUUAUAUUCUAUUCUCAAGGUCUCUCUCAGUUCUCUUAUUCUAUAAGAAGUAUUCCCAGAGAUAGACAUAUAGAAAACCAAUUGAACGGUAAACGUGGAAGACAAUUCUCUAAAUGAUUUUUUUUUAAAAAAUAAUCAUUAAAUCUCAUCUUGUAUUUGUACUUUUCUUUCCUUCAGGUGUAAAUUGCUACUCUAGCUAAAACACAACCCAGAAAGAAAUAAUUAUGCCACCAAUAUGAACAUUUCAAAAAUAUAACUAUGGCAUA